RNAcentral lists this non-coding RNA (102 nucleotides) under Alphaproteobacteria bacterium. RNAcentral's name for it is "SAM-I-IV sequence". It matches the Rfam family "SAM-I/IV (S-adenosyl methionine) riboswitch aptamer". Rfam says of the family: It is found upstream of a number of genes which code for proteins involved in methionine or cysteine biosynthesis. The record is from RNAcentral. Lineage: Bacteria; Pseudomonadati; Pseudomonadota; Alphaproteobacteria.
GGACGGCAUCAAGAGCAGGGCUGACGCCCUCGCCAACCUGCCUUCCCGGGCAAGGUGGUUCCCGCAAGGGGAUGCGGCCAUUCGGCAACGAAACGGGUCGCG